CCCACUUAUCCUCUUCCCAGAAGUUACUCCCUAACAAACUUCCCUCUCUCUCAUUCUCUUAGUUUAGGUCAGUCCGCGUAAAUAGAUUCAUCAAAUUCCCUCUCAGACAGAAACGCCAUUCGACCAUCUGCAAGGCUUUCAAUCUAUUUGCCUCAUCUCAAUACUGUGAAGGAGGAAUGGUCGUUGGGAGAGAACAGCUUGAUGGAUUAUGGACUUACAAGAUGGUAAUCAAUGUCUUGUUUUGAAAGUUAUACUCGAAAUUGAGGUGACAGUGCUAAGCAAUGCAACUAAGAUGCUAGUUCUCCUUGUUUUGAAAGCUCAUGCACGCUCUUGCCUCGAUUGCUUGAUCUAGGUCUCAUCUUAAGUGAUGAAAGUGCCAUGGACAAGUAUAAAAAUACUUAGCAAGUAGCUUGCUUGUAGUUUCUUAGUUCGCUCUUAAGUCUUAUCUCAUUGAUUUGUUCGUUCGUUUGAUGUCUCAUUUAUACUCAGAAGCCCAAUCCUAAGUUAAAGACUUAACUAGACUUUUCCUUAGGUUUACUUAGUUCACCUGAGCUCAAUUUAAGGUCAUGUUGUGAAACUCAUUAAAUUCUCUUUUUCUUAGCCCUAUAUGGGUCGACAGUUCUCUUAGUUCAUUCUUGGAGUUCUAAAAUAUCUUGUUUAGUCAUUCUACUAGUCCCGGUAAUCAUGAUCAUCAACCUAUAUAACACAAGCACUCAACAUGCAACCCUAUAAUAGGCUUCAACCUAGCCUAUAGUUUUCAUUA
This is a long non-coding RNA of Cucurbita moschata (crookneck pumpkin), 763 nucleotides long. RefSeq lists it as uncharacterized. NCBI's taxonomy places the organism in Eukaryota, Viridiplantae, Streptophyta, Magnoliopsida, Cucurbitales, Cucurbitaceae. The record is from RefSeq and is a predicted model, not a curated record. The transcript is spliced from 2 exons.